UGUCGGCUCUUCCUAUCAUUGUG
RNAcentral lists this non-coding RNA (23 nucleotides) under Arabidopsis thaliana (thale cress). The record is from RNAcentral. Lineage: Eukaryota; Viridiplantae; Streptophyta; Magnoliopsida; Brassicales; Brassicaceae. RNAcentral also lists the same sequence under 2 other names.